CAUCUUCAUCUUCACCAACCCCACCUUUAUCUUCACCAACUCCAUCUCCACCGCCACCACCUCCGUCGUCGCCUCCUUCAUAACCACUACUACCUCUAUGCCUCCCGCCCCCUCCAUAACCACCACCUCCAUCUCCACCACCUCCAUCUCCACCUCCACCUCCAUUAUUUCUCUAACAACACAACCUCCACCUCCAUCUUCACUAGCCCCAUCUUAAUCGUUGUUUUAACCUCCUUCAGCCCCGUUCAUACUUCUUUCUCCACCUCGACUCAACUUCAAACGCGGAGCCGCCACUAUUCCGGCAACGCUCCAACCCCCUACUUCAAGCCGCCCAAACCUCCGCUACAAUCAUCUUUCCUUCAUCUCCACCUUCACAUCCACCAUCUCCACCACUAUCACCAUCAUCUGAAUCGAAAACGUGAACAGAUCUGGAGAUUCUAAGCUGGAACAUAUCUGGAGAUUAAGUUUUCACUAAUUCGUGCAACACAGAUCACUAAAUCCUAAAGAGAAUAUCACUAAAUUGUACUGAGAAUAUCACUAACUUGUAUUGGUUUCUAGUUUUUAUUUUAAAAUUGGUUUCUAUUUGAUCAUUAGCCUAUAUAU
Molecule: long non-coding RNA, 603 nt
Filed under: Daucus carota (carrot)
Lineage: Eukaryota; Viridiplantae; Streptophyta; Magnoliopsida; Apiales; Apiaceae
Description: long non-coding RNA (DCAR_LNC001676)
Source: RNAcentral